UAUUACCAUCAGAGCCCAAGAGGAGAAUUCUGACAUCUCAGCUAUGCUUGUUGGGAUGGAUGGUCCCCGACUCUCUAUUCACCCAAGUACCAAAACACUGCUGAUCCAUUUUUGUUUCAGAAACUAAUUUAUAUAAACUACUAUUUGGAUAUAUAGGAAGAAAAUUUGAAUAUUUUUUAAAUAUACCCAAGGCAAUCUAUAGAUUCAAUGCAAUCCCUAUCAAAUUA
This 227-nucleotide long non-coding RNA is filed under the name Sus scrofa (pig). RNAcentral's name for it is "lncRNA (ENSSSCG00050062649.1)". The record is from RNAcentral. Lineage: Eukaryota; Metazoa; Chordata; Mammalia; Artiodactyla; Suidae.